AAGUCGUAACAAGGUCUCCGUAGGUGAACCUGCGGAGGGAUCAUUACCAGAAGCCGCGUCGGCCGCAAGGCCGGCGCCUUCGCCCAACCCUUUGUGAAUCGCAUCUGAUUUCCCCGGGGGACCCCGCCCUCCGGCGGGCCCCCGGUGGACCUCUUCAACUCUUGUUGUAUCUGCCGUCGGAGUCGAUAUUCAAUCAAAACAAAACUUUCAACAACGGAUCUCUUGGUUCUG
This 231-nucleotide unclassified non-coding RNA is filed under the name air metagenome. RNAcentral's name for it is "partial contains small subunit ribosomal RNA, internal transcribed spacer 1, and 5.8S ribosomal RNA". The stretch from base 1 to 46 matches the Rfam family "Eukaryotic small subunit ribosomal RNA", at positions 1786 to 1831 of the family's 1831-position model. The record is from RNAcentral.